AUUGAACGCUGGCGGCAUGCUUUACACAUGCAAGUCGAACGGUAACAGGCCUUCGGGUGCUGACGAGUGGCGAACGGGUGAGUAAUGCAUCGGCACGUACCCAGAGGUGGGGGAUAACGCAGCGCAAGCUGUGCUAAUACCGCAUGUGAUCUGAGGAUGAAAGCGGGGGACCGAGCAGCAAUGUUUGGCCUCGCGCCUUUGGAGCGGCCGAUGUCGGAUUAGCUAGUUGGUGAGGUAAAGGCCUACCAAGGCGACGAUGCGUAACUGGUCUGAGAGGGUGAUCGGGCACACUGGAACUGAGACACGGGCCAGAGUCCUACGGGAGGCAGCAGUAGGGAAGCUUCCGCAAGGGGCGAAAGCCUGACGGAGCAACGCCGCGUGAGUGAUGAAGGUCUUCGGAUCGUAAAACUCUGUUAUUAGGGAAGAACAAAUGUGUAAGUAACUAUGCACGUCUUGACGGUACCUAAUCAGAAAGCCACGGCUAAGUACGUG
Molecule: ribosomal RNA, 492 nt
Filed under: uncultured bacterium
Lineage: Bacteria
Description: partial 16S ribosomal RNA
Rfam family: Bacterial small subunit ribosomal RNA
Source: RNAcentral